RNAcentral lists this unclassified non-coding RNA (336 nucleotides) under soil metagenome. RNAcentral's name for it is "partial contains 5.8S ribosomal RNA, internal transcribed spacer 2, and large subunit ribosomal RNA". The stretch from base 1 to 120 matches the Rfam family "5.8S ribosomal RNA", at positions 35 to 154 of the family's 154-position model. The record is from RNAcentral.
GAUGAAGAACGCAGCGAAAUGCGAUAAGUAAUGUGAAUUGCAGAAUUCCGUGAAUCAUCGAAUCUUUGAACGCACAUUGCGCCCCCUGGCAUUCCGGGGGGCAUGCCUGUCCGAGCGUCAUUUCUGCCCUCAAGCACGGCUUGUGUGUUGGGUGUGGUCCCCCCGGGGACCUGCCCGAAAGGCAGCGGCGACGUCCGUCUGGUCCUCGAGCGUAUGGGGCUCUGUCACUCGCUCGGGAAGGACCUGCGGGGGUUGGUCACCACUAUAUUUUACCACGGUUGACCUCGGAUCAGGUAGGAGUUACCCGCUGAACUUAAGCAUAUCAAUAAGCGGAGA